GACGAACGCUGGCGGCGUGCUUAACACAUGCAAGUCGAACGGAAAGGCCCUGCUUUUGUGGGGUGCUCGAGUGGCGAACGGGUGAGUAACACGUGAGUAACCUGCCCUUGACUUUGGGAUAACUCCAGGAAACUGGGGCUAAUACCGGAUAGGAGCUCCUGCUGCAUGGUGGGGGUUGGAAAGUUUCGGCGGUUGGGGAUGGACUCGCGGCUUAUCAGCUUGUUGGUGGGGUAGUGGCUUACCAAGGCUUUGACGGGUAGCCGGCCUGAGAGGGUGACCGGCCACAUUGGGACUGAGAUACGGCCCAGACUCCUACGGGAGGCAGCAGUGGGGAAUAUUGCGCAAUGGGCGGAAGCCUGAUGCAGCGACGCCGCGUGCGGGAUGACGGCCUUCGGGUUGUAAACCGCUUUCGCCUGUGACGAAGCGUGAGUGACGGUAAUGGGUAAAGAAGCACCGGCUAACUACGUG
Molecule: ribosomal RNA, 468 nt
Filed under: uncultured bacterium
Lineage: Bacteria
Description: partial 16S ribosomal RNA
Rfam family: Bacterial small subunit ribosomal RNA
Source: RNAcentral